GAUCAUGGCUCAGGAUGAACGCUGGCGGCGUGCCUAACACAUGCAAGUCGAGCGAGAAGCUCAUGACGGACGCUUCGGUUGAAGUCACGAGUGGAAAGCGGCGGACGGGUGAGUAACGCGUAGGCAACCUGCCCUUUGCAGAGGGAUAGCCUCGGGAAACCGGGAUUAAAACCUCAUAAUACCGCAGUGAGACAUCUCACGGCGGUCAAAGAUUUAUCGGCAAAGGACGGG
Molecule: ribosomal RNA, 231 nt
Filed under: uncultured bacterium
Lineage: Bacteria
Description: partial 16S ribosomal RNA
Rfam family: Bacterial small subunit ribosomal RNA
Source: RNAcentral